RNAcentral lists this ribosomal RNA (477 nucleotides) under uncultured bacterium. RNAcentral describes it as "bacterial SSU rRNA". It matches the Rfam family "Bacterial small subunit ribosomal RNA", at positions 35 to 507 of the family's 1533-position model. The record is from RNAcentral.
GCUGGCGGCAGGCUUAACACACGCAAGUCGAGCGGUAGCAGAUCUAGCUUGCUAGAUGCUGACGAGCGGCGGACGGGUGAGUAACGCGUAGGAACCUGCCCAGUAGUGGGGGAUAGCCCGGGGAAACUCGGAUUAAUACCGCAUACGCUCUACGGAGGAAAGAGGGGGCUUCGGCUCUCGCUAUUGGAUGGGCCUGCGUGAGUUUAGCUAGUUGGUGAGGUAAUGGCUCACCAAGGCGACGAUCUCUAGCUGGUCUGAGAGGAUGAUCAGCCACACUGGGACUGAGACACGGCCCAGACUCCUACAGGAGGCGGCAGUGGGGAAUAUUGCACAAUGGGCGCAAGCCUGAUGCAGCCAUGCCGCGUGUGUGAAGAAGGCUUUCGGGUUGUAAAGCACUUUCAGUGGGGAGGAAGGCCUCGUAGUUAAUAGCUGCGAGGAUUGACGUUACCCACAGAAGAAGCACCGGCUAACUCCGUG